This is a long non-coding RNA of Sus scrofa (pig), 2236 nucleotides long. RefSeq lists it as uncharacterized. NCBI's taxonomy places the organism in Eukaryota, Metazoa, Chordata, Mammalia, Artiodactyla, Suidae. The record is from RefSeq and is a predicted model, not a curated record.
GUGGCUUUGCUUAGGGACUUCCUGCUGCCGAAAUGCUCUUCUCUCCGGUCCAGGAGCUGCUCUUCUGAAUCCUUUGUCUUCAGCUUGGAGUCUUUCCUGGUCCUCCUGACAGGUGGUGGAUUCCUGGAAGGCAGGACUGUCCGAUUCAUCGUGGUGUUCCCAGGCAUGUACCCUGAACACUGGACUUUCACCCCACUUUCCCCCCUUUCCACCAUUGUUUUACUUCAAACUGACCAGGAAGUUCUUCUUAAGAAUGGGUAAGAUUCUCUCUCUUCCCUGGCAUAGAUCAAGGAAGAACAGAAGAAUAAGGACCUGGAAUGAAAGAGGCAACCCAAAUGCAUGGAUGGGGCAAGGAUGCGACCAAGAGACAGGUUAUCUCCCAAAAGUUCUUGAAUCCUUGACUUCCAAGGUGGUGGACAGAGGAGCGAUGCCAUCAGAAUCAUGUUUUACGAGGCUUGCGUGGGAGUCCGGGAGUUGGUGACAAGAGCGCGUGCCCGGAGAAAAGGGUGGAGGCAGCUUCAUUCAAAAGCCUCCGACCCUCCAAAGGGCUUCACCGGGUCAUAGGCGCCACGUAGUUGGCAGGGAAGAGGCCCAGCUUGUUGUGCAGGCGGCCGGUCCACCAGGACGGGUUGGAGCUGUCCAGGACCUCAACCACCUCUCCGCACUGGAAUCCCAGCUCGUCAUCCUCGAGGGCCUCAAAGUCGUACAGCGCCCGGGCCCACCGCACUCGCUGUCAGGGGUGGAAAACAGAGGGGUCCGGCUGAGCCAGGCUGGCCGGGCUGGCAUCGGAACCGCGGGCACAGGGGAGGGGGUGUGCUGGCCCUGGCUCCGAGUCGCAGCCCUCCAUGAGCAGGCUGCCCCGGAGGCUGACAGCCACUCUCCAGAGACAUUUCAAACCCUGCUGCGACUGCGCGCAGACUGGGAGGCAGAGCCCAGAGAACAGCCACGCUGGUCGCCAAGGCCCCAAGAGGAUCCUGGAGAGCUACCCUCCCUGCAUCAAUAGGCGGCUUUUUGUUUUCUUCAGGUGACAAACAGAAUGCAGCGUGCCCACACUAACAGCCCUUGGUUGCCAGUUCCCCUGAGCCAAGAUGGAUCUCCUUCUGCUAGAAUCACAGCCAGGAGACAUGAGGACGGGCCAAGGCCCCACAGCCAACAGAGAACAGCAGGCAGGAUGGCUGUUCCAGGUGGGACCGGCUCCACCUGGAACUCUCGCCUCCCUCCCACCCCCUGCAGCCCCACCUACGGGGUUCGUGCCACCUCUGCGUGGGCUCCGUGCGGUUUGACAUCUCUCCUGGAGGCCCAACAGUUUCUCUACCGACCGCACUGCCUCCUCCAUUGAUGCCGGAGAGGGAAAUCCACGUACCCCGGCCACUUGGAGCUGCACCGGGUCUGUGUGUCUCCGGUGCAUGAGGGCGGCGUUCAUUUCGCUGCCCAUGCCCAGGCCACAGUGCCCGUCGUUUAUGUCCAGGCUGCCUCCACGGCGAUCCUAGAAACAGAUGCAACAGAAGACCCAUCACCACACCGCCAGAAGCAUUCCUCACGGGCUCCCCCAACACCUUGUGCCAAGGUCAUUGGCCCAGCCAGUGCUCCAGGAAGACUUACUGAUGAUGACAAUAGACCCGAGAUAAUGGGGAGGGGGGAGGGUGACAAACAGACCCAGAUUGGGAAGAUGAUGCCAGAUUUCAUUCAUUCAAUCAAGGAACAUCUAUCAGGCACCUACCAUGUGUCUAGCACUGUCCUAAGCACGAGGAUAUGUCACUAGAAAGAGAAGACCCCCGUCUUCAAGGAACAUCGGUUUAGAGGGGGAGCCAUACACAUGUAAGUGAUGGGUGAGCACAGAGAAGUGUCUGAGGCGGCUGGGUAAUCAGGGAUCACCUGCCUCCUAGAGCAGGUGAUAUUUGAAUUCCAGUUUAAAGAGGAAUAGAAUCGACUAGGAAAGGGUGUUUCUGACAGAGGCGACAGCACAUAAAAAGUCUCAAAAGCAUAAGAGAAAACACAGUGGACCAUUCCGGUAACUGGUAAGAGCACUGCUGGAGGGGGCGUUUGCGUGGGGAGUCAGGGGAGGUGGCAGGGUGAGGCUGGCGAGACAGAUAUGGACAACUCACAAAGGUCUUUGUACGCCCUGCUAAGGAAUUUAGGGACGAUGUUAUCUGGCUGUAUUGUCCGUCUCGGUAAGCCGCCUAAAAUCCCAUCUGGAACAAGGCGGGGGAUAAAUAAAUAAAUAAGCAAGGUUCCA